RNAcentral lists this long non-coding RNA (2761 nucleotides) under Nicotiana tabacum (common tobacco). Its description in RNAcentral is "long non-coding RNA (NTAB_LNC008919)". Lineage: Eukaryota; Viridiplantae; Streptophyta; Magnoliopsida; Solanales; Solanaceae. The record is from RNAcentral.
UUUCUUGUGCUAGCAGUGCUAACUAGGUGCAUCUCAUGCAGAGUAUACUCGGUAGCCAAUCUGAAAAAUGAUGAACAUGAGGAAAAAAAGAAAAGAAGGGCAACCCGGCGCACUAAGCUCCCGCUAUGCGCAGGGAACAAAUGAUAAUUAAAAAUUACUUGUACAACAGACUCAUAUUCACAAGGGAAUAGAUAGCAUAAAGCUUGAAGUUUCGCUAAUACUAGAGAGAGCCUACCUUAGACAACUAAACAGUGACCAGAAAGAAAAAAAAUGGAGAAUAACUUAAACAACUAAUAUACAUAUUGCUAAUUCCCUCGAUAUGUCAAACCAUAAUGAGGAAGAACUAAAGACUCAGAGACCCGAGUCAACUAGCUAAGUUACAGUGUCCCAACUGGAUCAUAUAAUAUAACCAGUUAGUACACAGUACACGCCUACGGACUAAGGAUGCUUCAUAAAGACCCUUUUGUUGAGAAACAUGAACACGGCAAAGUUCAGAAGGCAAGUGGCGAUUUCAAUGAAUAGUUAAUCCGAUCACUAGCUUCCUCCAAUAAUAAUGCCAUCUACUUAAUCAAAUUCAUUCAUCUGCGUCGUACUAAGCCAGAGUGAUGGUGAGCUUUGCUAUCAUUCUGUAUCCCUUCCACAUAAAUUGGCAGUAGAAUGAUCUCAGAGAUCUCAUUCAACAACACUUCUUCAGUGAUGUUGUCAGUAAUACUUCUCAAAACCUAAAUUUUGCCGUACAGGAACCAAAAUUAGUCUACUAGGUUGCUAACUAUCUAAUAUAUGACAAAAUAUGGAAAAGGUUAUAUUAAAGCACAAGUCUACGUAUCAAAAAAUCAACCCGUGAACUUAGUAUUUGCCAAUAAAGCAAGUACCUUCCUGUACGUGUUGUAAUCAUUUGGAGUUCCUUUAUCAAUUCUGGUCCUCAUCCACACCCAUUCUUGGUUAUUGGAAUCCCAAGAACACUCUAUUAUUUUACCCAAGUAAUCUGACGGGUCAGAACUAUCUGUAACCAUGAAAGAAACCAAUUUCAGAACAUGCACCAGCGUAUAAACGCCAGCCAAGCAGGAAACCCGAGUUCACGGGAUACAAAAUAAAGUGCAGGAGAACUGCUCAGAUAUGCGUCUACAAGGACAGCAGAAUAGACAUUUCGCUGGAUGUUUAUAUCAUCACUGCUAGUAUCAGUAACUCCAAGCAACAAGAACCAACUAUUGGAAAGACCAUUUUAAAGAGCAAGAGAAGAAACAAAGCUGUUGAACUCCUGUCAAAAGCCUGAGAGGUGCACAUCCUAUUCUGACAAGCAUGAUCUUGUUAAUCAAAAAUUCACAUAAAGACUAAUGUGACACCCUAAAUGUGGAUUAUCUGGUUCACGGUCACGUGCAACAAGGAAUUCCCAUAUCUGUGCUUCCAUGUACUUUUCCUGAAAAUGUAAACAAUCUUCUACUGGCACUUGAUCCAUUGAGAACCUUACCGUAAAUUCCAAAUAAUCCCACUAACAUAUCCGACCUUUUUCAACUUUAGCAACUGAUUCAAUUUCAAGUUGUGGAUGAUCCACGUUCUCAUUACUAAGAAUCAACUAUAAAAGAACAAAAAAGUUUAAAAGAACAAGAUUACGCGUCUUGAACUUAGUGGAAAGUUGGAUUAGAAGAGGAUCAGUUGUCAAACAGCAAUGCUGCCUUAGUUUAGCCACAGCAGCAAGUACCAACAGAAAUUUUUAUCCACAAUCUUAUUACUAUUUAGCAACUCACAAGUAUCAAAAAAGGAAUCUUGGCAAUCGAAACAGAGCAAGUCGUGAAAUAGCCUCCACUAGAUCACACAUUGAAUGCAGGUUACUCACUCAAAUACGCGAACCGCAUCCGAUUCCCCACAAAACAUCAUCCACCUAGAAGUUUUACUAAGCAAUCACAUCCAUCCAGGUCAGGUAAAAUAAACAAGACAGGAAAAAAAAGACUAAACGAUUUUUUCCUUUUUUUUUUUUUGGUUAAGUCAAUAAAAACUAAACGAGCAUGGGAUGCAGAUGAUAUCCGCCUCCUAUAUUCCCACAAACCCCAGAUUGAGGGAAACCUUCCUGCAUGAUACCACAGGAGAUUAACUAAUACAACAUGGAUUUCUAACCUGGGAAAACGACUCUAUUCCCUUCCAUCAGUUUCUUCUUCCCUCGUUCAUGUAGAUAAAGCAAUUCACGACCGUCAACCACCUGUUUUAUCACACUAAUAUGAGAGAAUAAAGCAUGAUUCGUUUAACAGCAGCCAUUCCACAUAAAGAGUGGAAGACAAAUGACAUUUGACAGGUCAAGGGGUAAGGAAAAAACAAAAAUAAGAACCAAAACGGCAAAGAGGAAAUGGAAACAGCUCUAGUCACUAAGAGAGCAGAGAACACUACCUCAAACAGGAAGUCAACCGAGUUCAUCUCGGGGUAUUUCCACUUCAACAGACCAUGAUGCGUGAGAGGAACAUAAGGAUCUAGCCAACCCUAAAAAGGAAAGAAAACAGUAGCUGAGUGUCAAGAACCUAAAAUGAUUAGAUUUGUACGAUUUAUGUCUCUGUUUCUGUUACUGUAAGCCAUAAAUAUGUCAUAUGUCAAUUAAAUGAAUGAGGAUGUGCUAGCAUCUCUAAUACUUCUCUGCAUCACAACAUAAAUGCAGAAUAAACGUUGAAAACAUCUUCCAAACAGAGGUCCCCAACAAAGCAAUCAAGACAUACAUGCCAUACAACUUGGAGACAUCAGAUAUCUGAAGGGAUGUAAAAACUUAACUCCUGCGGGG